AUCGCUUCUCGGCCUUUUGGCUAAGAUCAAGUGUAGUAUCUGUGCUUGUCAGAAAGAACAAGCCCUUUGCAACCUGUUCCAUCGUGUAACAUCACAAAACCAGGUGCGGAGGCCAAGAAGCGAAGCUCGUAGAGCUUUUAGUUGGAUUUUAGAUUAGCUGAGAUAGAUUUUUUUAGUAAAGUUCUUAGAUGGUUUUACAGGAAUGAUGAGGAAAAGUAACCUGGU
RNAcentral lists this small nuclear RNA (225 nucleotides) under Astyanax mexicanus (Mexican tetra). RNAcentral's name for it is "U2 spliceosomal RNA (ENSAMXG00005011726.1)". It matches the Rfam family "U2 spliceosomal RNA". Rfam says of the family: U2 is a small nuclear RNA (snRNA) component of the spliceosome (involved in pre-mRNA splicing). Complementary binding between U2 snRNA (in an area lying towards the 5' end but 3' to hairpin I) and the branchpoint sequence (BPS) of the intron results the bulging out of an unpaired adenosine, on the BPS, which initiates a nucleophilic attack at the intronic 5' splice site, thus starting the first of two transesterification reactions that mediate splicing. Lineage: Eukaryota; Metazoa; Chordata; Actinopteri; Characiformes; Acestrorhamphidae. The record is from RNAcentral.